This is a long non-coding RNA of Magnolia sinica, 627 nucleotides long. RefSeq lists it as uncharacterized. The record is from RefSeq and is a predicted model, not a curated record. Lineage: Eukaryota; Viridiplantae; Streptophyta; Magnoliopsida; Magnoliales; Magnoliaceae. The transcript is spliced from 2 exons.
UCCAUUAUAUAUGUGUGCCCCUAAUGAAUGUUCCGUUUAAGGUCAAAAAAUCUCGCCAAUCCAAAAAUCAGGUGGGCCACACCACAGGUAACAGUUGGGAUGGGGUGCUCACUCUCCUUGUUUCUGCUUAUUCUGUCUAAGGCCAUGUUCUCUUCUUGCAGUAAGAUUGAUGGGCUAGGGAUCAAUGGAACAUUGUGUCUCCAGCUAUCAAGCCUCCUCUCACUGAAAUAUAUGUAAUAAGAAGAACUUCCAAGAUGCCUGCUUCUUUUACGCAUUUGCUAAGAACCAUAAGCGUAUGUCCAACGUGCAAGUACCAUUUGAACGUUUUCACUGGAGCUAUUGGAGGUAAUCAUUUUCUUACAUGCAUAUCUGACUCACAUCCUUUUAUUUUCUUGUGGUUAAGAUAAAAAUAUUGUUGAAACUUCAUUUAAAUUUUGGUUUAUGGAAUUACAGUUUGCUAUUUUGGUUUACCCCAAGAAUUAAAACAUAACAGUAGAAGUGAUGUAAAAGAGUAAGGAAGCUAAGUUGGCAAUUCUCAUGGCAUCAAAUUCUACAUGAAUACAUUGCUUGUCUGAAGUCAUUUUGAGCCUUUUAAACAGUUGCCGUGGAUUCAUUUUGAUUGUUUUA